This 3003-nucleotide ribosomal RNA is filed under the name Triticum aestivum (bread wheat). RNAcentral describes it as "partial small subunit ribosomal RNA". The record is from RNAcentral. Lineage: Eukaryota; Viridiplantae; Streptophyta; Magnoliopsida; Poales; Poaceae.
AUGUUCAAUGUUGUAGAUGAUAACGAGGAUAUCCAAGAUGAGGAUUUUGGUGACAAUGAGGUCAAUGCAACACAAUCCAGGAAAUUUGUUAGUGCAAGGGAGUACUACUGCUUCAAGCUACAGGUCAGGAAGAAGCUUUUUAACAUCAUCUUGUUUGGUGGGCGCCUUUUCCAACAGUGGGCGGUUGAUAUGUAUAUCAAGAUUGAGACUAUGAGGCUGGACUGGUACUCAAAGCCAGAAAAUCAAAAAGUUAUACGAGCUGAUCUCUACCAGGGUCUUGUUGACACCAUCGUUGCCGGCGAGUCACGCGGUGAUCGAAUUGGCAAGAGAAUCGUGCUUCCACGUACGUUUCCUGGUGGUGAUCGCGACAUGCAGCGGAGGUUGCUGGAUGCGAUGGCAAUAGUCCAACAGUGGGGUAAACCGGAUUAUUUUAUCACGAUGACUUGCAAUCCCUAUUGGGAGGAGAUAACCCAUAAUCUGAUGCCUGGACAACUGCCACAAGACCGUCCAGACCUUGUGGCAAGAGUAUACAAGGCUAAACAACGAGAUAUGAUGGACUUGCUAACUAAGGGUAAGCAUUUCGGAGAAGUCCCAGCUUAUGUACAUGUCACGGAGUUUCAGAAACGAGGCCUUCCUCAUGAGCAUAUACUUUUAAUCAUGAAAACAAAAAGCAAGUUAGCAUCCCCAGAUGACUAUGAUCGGGUGAUAUCCGCAGAGAUACCUGACAAAGAGAAACACCCCGUUCUGCAUGACCUGGUCGUCAAACACAUGCUGCACGGACCCUGUGGUGAGUUGAAAAAGAGUUGUCCUUGCAUGAUUGAGGGACAGUGUAGGUUUCAUUAUCCGCGAGAUUUUUGUGAUGCCACACAACAAGGGAAAGACUCUUAUCCCAUCUAUCGGAGGAGGGAUGAUGGGCGUGGAGUUAGGAUCAGAGGAGCGAAUUUGGACAAUAGAUGGGUGGUCCCUUACAACCCUUCUUUGCUUAUGCGAUAUAACUGCCACAUUAAUGUGGAAGCAUGCUCGAGCAUCAAGGCAGUCAAGUAUUUGUUCAAGUACAUCUAUAAAGGCCACGAUCGGACGUCCUUUGCAUUCGAGCAGGACAUAAUCAAUGAUGGUGGAAUCAUCAAUGAAAUCCGACAAUAUAGGGAUGCACGCUACGUAUCUCCUCCAGAGGCUAUUUACAUGAUUUUUGGUUUCAAAAUGUUUGGUGUCAGUCCAUCAGUGCUGCAGCUCCAGCUUCAUUUGCCGAACAUGCAUACAAUUGCAUUUAAAGCUGGUGAAAAUCUUGAAGAUGUUGUCGCUCGACCAUCUUCAUCCAGGUCCAUGCUUACCGAGUACUUUGAGAUGAACCGGAGGAAUCCGCAAGCACAGAAAUUGUUGUACAGAGAGUUUCCAGAGCAUUAUAGAUGGAUAGCUGGAAAAAAGAAGUGGCAGAAGAGAAGAAAUAACAGAUCACAGAUUGGAAGACUUGUGUAUGCACACCCUGCUGAAGGAGAGAGGUACUACUUGCGUGUGCUGCUAAGUCAUGUUCAAGGUGCCACUUCUUUUGAUCAUUUAAAAACAGUAAAUGGCAACCUAUGCACUUCCUUUAGAGAGGCAUGUGAGCACUUAGGCCUCAUUGAGCACGACAAGACUCUUGAUGAUUGCAUGACAGAGGCAGCCACAUUUCAGAUGCCUUCUGCCCUAAGACGGUUGUUUGCAACUAUAUUGGUAUUUUGCGAGGCAACGGAAAUACGACAAUUGUGGGAUAAACAUCUACCAUCAAUGUGUGAGGACUACAGUCGUAAUGAAUCCAAUGAGCCGGUACUUGAGCAGAUGGUCCUUCGAGAUAUUACGGAUAUGUUGCAAUCCAUGGGAAAGGAUAUUAAGAGCUAUGGACUUCCGGAUCUGGUUGAGACCGAUGGUUCUUAUGACAGUGAGUACAAAGAGGUAACAGAGGAGAGGCAAAUCACCACGGACACAGAACAUCUAGAUCUAUUUAGCAGUUUGAACAAUGAGCAGCUAGCUGGUUUCAAUGACAUAAUGGAUCAUGUGAUGAACAAAAAAAGCCAGAUAUUCUUUGUUGAUGGUCCAGGAGGAACUGGGAAGACGUACUUGUACAAGGCAUUGCUAGCAAAGCUGCGUUCCAUGGGCGAAAUCGCGAUCGCAACUGCUACAUCUGGUAUUGCAGCGUCGAUAAUGCCUGGAGGACGCACAGCACACUCCCGGUUCAAAAUUCCAAUCAAGCUCACUGACAACAGUAUGUGCGGUUUCACAAAACAGAGUGGUACAGCGGAUCUUAGACAUGCGUCCCUGAUAAUUUGGGACGAAGUCGCUAUGACAAAACGACAAGCAGUUGAGACGCUUGAUAGAUCACUACAGGAUAUAAUGGAAUGUUCUUUGCCGUUUGGAGGAAAGGUUGUUGUAUUUGGUGGUGAUUUCAGGCAGGUCCUACCCGUUGUGACACGUGGGACAAGAGCACAAAUAACGGAUGCUACACUUCUGAGAUCCUAUCUUUGGGAGAAGACCCGCAAGAUACGUCUCACGCGCAAUAUGCGGGCACAGGCUGAUCCUUGGUUCUCAGAAUACCUACUAAGGAUAGGCAAUGGAACUGAAGAGACAAUUGGCGACGAUUAUGUCCGUCUCCCUGAGGACAUUGUCAUUGGCUAUACCGAGGAUGAAAAAGCUAUUAACAUGCUCAUCGAAAAUGCCUUCCCAUCUUUGCAGGCCAAUGCUAGAUCGAGAGAGUACAUGAGUGCACGUGCUAUUCUUUCAACCAAGAACGAUCAUGUCGAUGACCUGAAUGACAAAAUGAUCUCCAGGUUUCCAGGCGAAGAAAAGUUAUACCAUAGUUUUGACUCAAUUGAGGAUGACUUGCAGAAUAAUUACACAAUUGAUUUUUUGAACUCAAUCACACCAAAUGGCUUGCCCCCGCAUGUUUUGAAAUUAAAGGUCAACUGUCCAGUCAUUCUGCUCCAGAACCUCGACCUCAUAAUGGUCUAUGCAAUGGAACAUGGCUUAUGA